CACAGAGUUAGCCGGUGCUUAUUCUGCGAGUAACGUCCACUAUCCUAAAGUAUUAAUCUAGGUAGCCUCCUCCUCGCUUAAAGUGCUUUACAACCAAAAGGCCUUCUUCACACACGCGGCAUGGCUGGAUCAGGGUUCCCCCCAUUGUCCAAUAUUCCCCACUGCUGCCUCCCGUAGGAGUCUGGGCCGUGUCUCAGUCCCAGUGUGGCGGAUCAUCCUCUCAGACCCCGCUACAGAUCGUCGCCUUGGUAGGCCUUUACCCUACCAACUAGCUAAUCCGACUUAGGCUCAUCUAUUAGCGCAAGGCCCGAAGGUCCCCUGCUUUCUCCCGUAGGACGUAUGCGGUAUUAGCGCUCCUUUCGGAACGUUGUCCCCCACUAAUAGGCAGAUUCCUAAGCAUUACUCACCCGUCCGCCGCUGAAUCCAGUAGCAAGCUACUUUCAUCCGCUCGACUUGCAUGUGUUAAGCCUGCCGCCAGCGUUCAAUCUGAGCCAGGAUCAAACU
Molecule: ribosomal RNA, 504 nt
Filed under: uncultured Acinetobacter sp.
Lineage: Bacteria; Pseudomonadati; Pseudomonadota; Gammaproteobacteria; Moraxellales; Moraxellaceae
Description: partial 16S ribosomal RNA
Source: RNAcentral